UGUAAACAUCCUACACUCUCAGCUGUGACUUUGUGGUGGCUGGGAGAAGGUUGUUUACGCCUCCU
RNAcentral lists this microRNA precursor (65 nucleotides) under Python bivittatus (Burmese python). RNAcentral's name for it is "microRNA pbv-mir-30c precursor (pbv-mir-30c-2)". Its record names the gene pbv-mir-30c-2. It matches the Rfam family "mir-30 microRNA precursor family", at positions 9 to 75 of the family's 77-position model. From Rfam's summary of the family: This family consists of the mammalian microRNA (miRNA) precursor mir-30a. Animal miRNAs are transcribed as ~70nt precursors and subsequently processed by the Dicer enzyme to give a ~22nt product. Lineage: Eukaryota; Metazoa; Chordata; Lepidosauria; Squamata; Pythonidae. The record is from miRBase by way of RNAcentral.